AAGAUCAUACUUGUACAGGAUCACUUCUAUAGUGAUUUCUCCUGUCUAAUCAUACCCAAAUAUGACAGAUCUACCAACCUGGACGAUGACCGGAAAGGUGCCAUCGCUUAGCGUGAGACUGGGACCCAGAGUUCUUACUUUGGGCUUCCACGAUGACCGUACCGCUUGCUAUCAUUCCAGCUUGCGGUUGCGAUGGCACCAGUCUGACAGGU
Molecule: small nucleolar RNA, 212 nt
Filed under: Polymyxa betae
Lineage: Eukaryota; Endomyxa; Phytomyxea; Plasmodiophorida; Plasmodiophoridae
Rfam family: Small nucleolar RNA U3
About the family: Small nucleolar RNAs (snoRNAs) are involved in the processing and modification of rRNA in the nucleolus. There are two main classes of snoRNAs: the box C/D class, and the box H/ACA class. U3 snoRNA is a member of the box C/D class.
Source: RNAcentral